Molecule: long non-coding RNA, 552 nt
Organism: Salvelinus namaycush (lake trout)
Lineage: Eukaryota; Metazoa; Chordata; Actinopteri; Salmoniformes; Salmonidae
Exons: 2
Source: RefSeq, a predicted model, not a curated record
CAGAGUUCCUACUUCUUCUCGAUUCAGCCGGAAACUCUAUGGAGUCAACAUUGCGAACAACAGCAAUGACAACUUUGAGCAUUGCUCAGGCCAAUGGGUAUAGAAGUAAGCAAGACGGAAAGCAACAUACCGUCUUCACCAGAGGAACAAACACCAGUGAAUGGGGACAGCACCAGGUUUUGUUCUCUGCGUACCAGCACUGCCUCGUCACCGUCCCCAAGCACUGCCUCGUCACCGUCCCCAAGCACUGCCUCGUCACCGUCCCCAAGCACUGCCUCGUCAGCGGCCCCAAGCACUGCCUCGUCAGCGGCCCCAAGCACUGCCUCGUCAGCGGCCCCAAGCACUGCCUCGUCAUCCGGCCAGAUAUUUCUAUCUAUACUCUGACACUUUAAUGAUAUUUAAUUGACACGUUGUCAACGUGUUAACGUGUCUCCUCGUAACAGACACUGUUGUAUUGUGUUUCACUUUCAGAGCCCAGAUGGUUUAUUUUUUUUGUGUGCUGAAAAAAAAAAGCUCAGUUUCUUCAUCUCAAUAAAAAAGUGUUUCAAUGCA